This 2127-nucleotide long non-coding RNA is filed under the name Prunus persica (peach). RNAcentral describes it as "long non-coding RNA (PPER_LNC008468)". Lineage: Eukaryota; Viridiplantae; Streptophyta; Magnoliopsida; Rosales; Rosaceae. The record is from RNAcentral.
AAAAUAUCUAUGCCGACGAAAUUUCGUCGGGGGAAACCUAAUCCGGCGAAUUUCGUCGGCAUAGACCUAUGCCGACGAAAUUUUGUCGCGAGAGGUUUUUAUUUUUAUUUUUUAUUUAUAUUAAAAUUUUUUUGAAAAUUAUUAUUAUUUUUUCUUUUCAUAAUUACAUUCAUUAGUAAUUAUGUUCUAACAAUUAUUUCUCUAGUGAAUAAUUAGUAUUAAAUAUUUUAAUUAACAUCAUAAGUGAUAUUACUUAAUAAAUAGUAUUUAGUUGUUAAAAUUUUUGAAUUUGAUAAAAUUCUUAAUACCCAUAUUAUACGCGUACGUACGUAUUUUUCAAUAGUACCUCCGUAUACGUCUUAAAUACUCGGUAUAAUGAAAGCAAACGAAUUUUAAUGAUUAUUUAAUUCAAAACAAUUAAUUACUAUUUACCAAGUAAUUGAGUAAAAUAUUUAAAUAUUCACUAAAGAAAUAAUAAUUAGAACAUAAUCACUAAUUAAAGUAAUUAAAAAAGGGCUAAGGUAUACCUAAUCACAUGUAUUGAAUUGAAGAAGUUGGCCCAAAAGCAAGAGCAAAGAAACAAAUUUUUUUUUUUUAAAAAAAAAAAAAAAAAAAAUUUAAAUUUAUUUAAAAAAAAAAAAAAAGGAACACAACCUCUCCCGACGAAAUUUCGUCGGCACAAGUGCAUAGACCUCUCCCGACGAAAAUAUCUAUGCCGACGAAAUUUCGUCGGGGGAAACCUAAUCCGGCGAAUUUCGUCGGCAUAGACCUAUGCCGACGAAAUUUUGUCGCGAGAGGUUUUUAUUUUUAUUUUUUAUUUAUAUUAAAAUUUUUUUGAAAAUUAUUAUUAUUUUUUCUUUUCAUAAUUACAUUCAUUAGUAAUUAUGUUCUAACAAUUAUUUCUCUAGUGAAUAAUUAGUAUUAAAUAUUUUAAUUAACAUCAUAAGUGAUAUUACUUAAUAAAUAGUAUUUAGUUGUUAAAAUUUUUGAAUUUGAUAAAAUUCUUAAUACCCAUAUUAUACGCGUACGUACGUAUUUUUCAAUAGUACCUCCGUAUACGUCUUAAAUACUCGGUAUAAUGAAAGCAAACGAAUUUUAAUGAUUAUUUAAUUCAAAACAAUUAAUUACUAUUUACCAAGUAAUUGAGUAAAAUAUUUAAAUAUUCACUAAAGAAAUAAUAAUUAGAACAUAAUCACUAAUUAAAGUAAUUAAAAAAGGGCUAAGGUAUACCUAAUCACAUGUAUUGAAUUGAAGAAGUUGGCCCAAAAGCAAGAGCAAAGAAACAAAUUUUUUUUUUUAAAAAAAAAAAAAAAAAAAAAAUUUAAAUUUAUUUAAAAAAAAAAAAAAAGGAACACAACCUCUCCCGACGAAAUUUCGUCGGCACAAGUGCAUAGACCUCUCCCGACGAAAAUAUCUAUGCCGACGAAAUUUCGUCGGGGGAAACCUAAUCCGGCGAAUUUCGUCGGCAUAGACCUAUGCCGACGAAAUUUUGUCGCGAGAGGUUUUUAUUUUUAUUUUUUAUUUAUAUUAAAAUUUUUUUGAAAAUUAUUAUUAUUUUUUCUUUUCAUAAUUACAUUCAUUAGUAAUUAUGUUCUAACAAUUAUUUCUCUAGUGAAUAAUUAGUAUUAAAUAUUUUAAUUAACAUCAUAAGUGAUAUUACUUAAUAAAUAGUAUUUAGUUGUUAAAAUUUUUGAAUUUGAUAAAAUUCUUAAUACCCAUAUUAUACGCGUACGUACGUAUUUUUCAAUAGUACCUCCGUAUACGUCUUAAAUACUCGGUAUAAUGAAAGCAAACGAAUUUUAAUGAUUAUUUAAUUCAAAACAAUUAAUUACUAUUUACCAAGUAAUUGAGUAAAAUAUUUAAAUAUUCACUAAAGAAAUAAUAAUUAGAACAUAAUCACUAAUUAAAGUAAUUAAAAAAGGGCUAAGGUAUACCUAAUCACAUGUAUUGAAUUGAAGAAGUUGGCCCAAAAGCAAGAGCAAAGAAACAAAUUUUUUUUUUUAAAAAAAAAAAAAAAAAAAAAAAAUUAAAUUUAUUUAAAAAAAAAAAAAAAGGAACACAACCUCUCCCGACGAAAUUUCGUCGGCACAAGUGCAUAGACCUCUCCCGACGAAAAUAUCUAUGCCG